AUUGAACGCUGGCGGAAUGCUUUACACAUGCAAGUCGAACGGUAGAGGGGGCAACCCCUCGAGAGUGGCGAACGGGUGAGUAAUAUAUCGGAACGUGCCCAGUCGUGGGGGAUAACGUAGCGAAAGUUACGCUAAUACCCCAUACGAUCUAAGGAUGAAAGCGGGGGAUCGCAAGACCUCGCGCGAUUGGAGCGGCCGAUAUCAGAUUAGGUAGUUGGUGGGGUAAAGGCUCACCAAGCCAACGAUCUGUAGCUGGUCUGAGAGGACGACCAGCCACACUGGAACUGAGACACGGUCCAGACUCCUACGGGAGGCAGCAGUGGGGAAUUUUGGACAAUGGACGCAAGUCUGAUCCAGCCAUUCCACGUGCAGGAUGAAGGCCCUCGGGUUGUAAACUGCUUUUGUACAGAACGAAAAGGUUUCUACUAAUACUAGGAGCUCAUGACGGUACUGUAAGAAUAAGCACCGGCUAACUACGUGCCAGCCGCCGCCGUAA
This 496-nucleotide ribosomal RNA is filed under the name uncultured bacterium. RNAcentral describes it as "partial 16S ribosomal RNA". It matches the Rfam family "Bacterial small subunit ribosomal RNA", at positions 30 to 523 of the family's 1533-position model. The record is from RNAcentral.